Molecule: long non-coding RNA, 600 nt
Organism: Dromaius novaehollandiae (emu)
Lineage: Eukaryota; Metazoa; Chordata; Aves; Casuariiformes; Dromaiidae
Exons: 6
Source: RefSeq, a predicted model, not a curated record
GACUCCACUUGCAAAUCUGUCAAGUUUGUUGUAUUCAGGAUUCUGGAAAACCUGAGUUAAAAGAUAGUGCCCCUGAAGGGUGAGCGAGAGAUGACAAUCUGGAGAAGAAUCAGUGCAGUGGAGCUUGCAGGAAAGACUAAGGGCAAGAAAUUCAGGAGCAGUUAGAAUCAAGGCCAUCAGCUCUUUGAUGCAGAGGAGUUCUUGUCUGUAUACACUCAGAUCCCAUCACCUUGGAUUUUUAGAGUGGAAAUGAAUGGCUACAGCUUGACGGUGCCUCCUGUUUCAGCAGACCAGGGCUGGACUCAGGCCUAUGCACCUGCAGAAGAGAGCAGCAUAAAUAUACUGUGUUGCCUAGUGGACAUCUCAGGAACCAAACUGAAGGAUCAGUAUGAGCACUCAGAAGAGCUUGUCUGUCUCUUUGGCCAUCAGUAACCACUGAAGAGACGUGCUUAUGGAGCUGCCGAGUCAGUCCUUUUGCUGAACUGUUGCACUUGAUUGUGUAUCGUCGACUCCCAGAAAGAAUGCUCUUUGUCCAGGGGCACGGGAUUAUUCCUGACAGAUGCCAUGCCAGUUGAUUCUUAUCCUGGAAUGUUCAUUAAG